UCAACUCCUCUUGAGAUAAUUCUUUGAGCCUUCCUGAUGGAUAGUCCUUCGGACCUGUCUUAUGGAACCAACCUCUCCUUACAGUCGAGCCGCUUUCGCUCCUCUCCUCGAUCAAGAGGUUAUUAGUCUCAAAGGAAGAGGAAGUAAUAUAAUAGCUCGACGUUCAAGGGCACAUACUGAGUUUACGAAGAAGAGGAGAAAUGAGUUUACGAACGAUCUAGGGAAGAGUUGAAUCUUUUCUUGCUGUGGAAGUAGCUGAAUAAGGCUCUUUCUGAAGUGGUUGAAGGAGAGGUUCUAGCUUUUCUUGUUCCGGUUUCAUAAGUGGCAGUGGACAUUGGCAGCCUCAGCUGCUAUCUCUCUUGCCCAAGCAAGGCAAAUAUCAAGGCUUAAAACGAGAAAUCCUGGGAUUGUAAUGUCCCAGUUGGUUAGUCUCUAAUACUGUGAUUUGACUAUUUCAUGAUUCCACGUUCUUUAAGGAAGAAAGGUCAGACGGAGAAGUCAGAUAAUCAGCCGUAGCCCAUCCAAUAAGGAAGAACAGACUAAAAAGUCAGAUAAGACUUAAGGCGCGAAGCGACAACCUACUAAACCUACGGCAGAACUGGAGGCAAGGGGCGAAGAGAAGAUACCGUAGGUCAGACUAUUACAAAGAAGAAGAAGACGAUAAGACGAUCAGACGAUAUUGAAUGCUCCGAAUCGUCUUCCUUCCGGCUUUCCCUUCUUUUUUCUUCUGGGGAAUCUUCCCCCUUAUCUUUUUCCGGCUUUCUCGGAAAGAUCCCUUGAACUGUGACUGGGCUGCGCCUUUGAUUCUGAGUACUUUAUCUAAGAGUACUUUAUCUAAGAGUUCUCGAUCCGAGUAGAUCGUAGAUCGGAUCGGCUUUGCCUUUUCUUUUCCUUCUUUAUCCGGGGAAUCCUCCCCCUUGACUUUAUCCGGUAAAUUCCCCUUGACUGACUUAGGGGCCGAGAGGUACUAGCUCGGUAUCGUCAUUCCCUUCUUCGAGAUCUACGAUCGGUAUCGGCUUUGCCUUUUCUUUUCCUUCUUUAUCCGGGAAAUUGUCCUUGACUUAGGGGCCUUCCGGCCUCGACUCCUUCUUCUUCUUUAUGCUGUGGGGAAACCUUCCCCUUACCUUUUUCUUCUGGGGAAUUCCCCUUUACCUAGGGGCCUUUAGGCCUCCUUCCCUUCUUUUUCCUCUGGAGAAACCUUCCCCUUAUAGUAGUUCCCUUCUUUUUCCUCUCUCAAAUUCUUUGAUCCUCCCCUUUCAAUCAAGGAAGUUGCCGAUAGGCCUCGACUCCUUCCCUUCUUUCUCCUCUGGGGGAAUCCUCCCCCUUGACUUUAUCCGGCUUUCUCUUUUGUCUUCCUUCCGGCCGGCGGCCUUUGCCUUAGUUCGUGGUAGAUCCGAGGAGAUCGGAUCGGCUUUGCCUUUUGUCUUCCCCCUUAUCUUUAUGCUGUGGGGAAACCUUCCCCUUAUAGUAGUUCCCUUCUGUAUCCUGUGGGGAAUGCUCCCCUUUCAAUCAAGGAAGUUUCCGAUAGGCACUGAAGGAAAGUCAAGGCCGAUAGGCUAAGCUCUUGACUCAUUCAUUCCAUAUUACUAGAACCCAGAAGACGAUUCCGUCUGAUCGUCUUCUUUCCUCAAUAUUCUUUGAACCUGAUUUUGCUUUAUUCUUUGGGGAAUCUUCCCCCUUAAAUAACUAAAGUCCGAUAGGUACCUUCUUUAUUUCAAUCAAGGAAGUUGCCGAUAGGCACUCAAGGAAAGGGCCUUUAGGCCGAGAGUCGGCUUUGCCUUUUGUCUUCCUUCUUUCCGGCUUUGCCUUAUCUUAUUAUAUUAGUUCGUGGUAGAUCCGAGGAGAUCGGAUCGGCUUUGCCCUUUUGUCUUCCUUCAGUGAACAGGAAAGUGCUGGAGUUGUACGUAUCUACUGCCUUGCCCACUUGUUCAGGGGAUCGGCCCAGGCUAGAAGAAUGAUCCUAGAGCGUGGCGCCUCGAAAACAAACUUUUUGUGAAUAUCUCAUCAGCUCCGUCAUGAAAAAUCAUGAAAGGAGGCGCCAUUACGGUUCCUCAAGCGGAGAGCGCGCCCCGGGAGUCUAACCCGGUCGUCUCGCCAAGAUAAGAGAGUACGGCGCCGUGCAAGGAUUUACCUCUUCUCUUUGCCCUUCCUCUCCAUCUUGUUUCUCACCUGACCUUGCAUAGUUUCGAUCUGUCUGCAAGAACCCGAUUAGCUGAUUGAUUCUUCGUUUGUAUGAGUGCGGGACGCUCCAUCAAUUCACCAACAGAAAUAAGGAGCCCCCAUACAAUCAAUAGUCGAUACGGGCUUUCGUCCCGUAAAGCGCAUGGGGCACGUUCUAGGAUGGAGGAUGGGGUUCUUCUAGGUACGUAGCAAUCCAUACUUUCUACUAUUCACUGAUUCGUUCUUGCCGAAAGAAGGACGUACCGACCUCACUUCCUUCCGACAAGGGCUCUACCUCUACUUCUGAAACUCAAAACGUCGGACCUUGGUCGCUUUAUACAGAGGAUCCCAGAGGGCUUGAUUGCUCAAGAGCCGUAGGAUUUCCCUCCCUGGUACCCAUGCUAAGGUGUUCUUAGAAAUUCUCCUUACAAGAGAUUCCGUACAAGUGUAAGUUACUUUUCUAAGAGGAACCUUAACUAUGAUGCGGAUUCAAUUGGCAUCUCCCUGCUCUAUGGUCUUUACACGACCGAGUCUAAAUGUCCCCCUCCCAGUACCUAUUACCUUCAGUCCCAGGGCUUCGGAUUUUGAACUGCGUCACCUACGUCAAUAUUCUUUGAACCUUGGUACUACGAUCGGAGAUCAGAUCAAAAAGGCUCUUUUCCGGCUUUCUCUUUUCUGUCCUCCUUCCGGCCGGCCUCAAUAUUCUUUGAACCUUCUUUAUCCGUGGAAUCUUCCUUUUCUGCCUUUCCCGCUCCGUGGGCGUAGUUCGUGGUAGAUCCGAGGAGAUCGGAGAUCGGAUCCUAUCGCCUUUCCCUUUUGUCUUCCGAGAGUCGGCUUUGCCUUUUCUGUCUUCCUUCCGGCUUUCCCUUUUCUUUUCCUUCUUCGAAAUAUUCUUUGACCCUGAAAGUAGUUCCCUUCUGAGAGAUCGGAUCGGAGAUCGGAUAGGUACCUCCGUUAAAUCAAGGAAAGUCAAGGCCUUCCGGCCUCGAGUCCUUCCCUUCUUUCUUCCCUAGAUCCGAGGAGAUCGGAGAUCGGAUCGGUAUCCGCUUUCCCUUUUGUCUUCCUUCCGGCCGGCCGGCUUUCCCGCUCCGUGGGCGUAGUUCGUGGUAGAUCCGAGGAGAUCGGAGAUCGGAUCCUAUCUGCUUUCUCUUUUGUCUUCCUUCCGGCUUUGCCUUACCCUGAGUUCGUGGUACCCUUUAUUUCAUUUAGGGUCCGAGAGUCGGCUUUGCCUUCUUCUCGAUUCAUUGACUCGGAUUCAACCUUCAAACUUGCUGGCUGUCUUCCUUCUUUAUCCUGUGGGGAAUCCUCCCCCUUGACUUUAUCCGAAGAAUUCCCCUUUAC
RNAcentral lists this long non-coding RNA (3501 nucleotides) under Cucumis sativus (cucumber). RNAcentral's name for it is "long non-coding RNA (CSAT_LNC000005)". The record is from RNAcentral. Lineage: Eukaryota; Viridiplantae; Streptophyta; Magnoliopsida; Cucurbitales; Cucurbitaceae.